This 877-nucleotide ribosomal RNA is filed under the name Staphylococcus aureus. Its description in RNAcentral is "partial 23S ribosomal RNA". It matches the Rfam family "Bacterial large subunit ribosomal RNA", at positions 1333 to 2205 of the family's 2925-position model. The record is from RNAcentral. Lineage: Bacteria; Bacillati; Bacillota; Bacilli; Caryophanales; Staphylococcaceae.
UCCACCGAUUGACUAAGGUUUCCAGAGGAAGGCUCGUCCGCUCUGGGUUAGUCGGGUCCUAAGCUGAGGCCGACAGGCGUAGGCGAUGGAUAACAGGUUGAUAUUCCUGUACCACCUAUAAUCGUUUUAAUCGAUGGGGGGACGCAGUAGGAUAGGCGAAGCGUGCGAUUGGAUUGCACGUCUAAGCAGUAAGGCUGAGUAUUAGGCAAAUCCGGUACUCGUUAAGGCUGAGCUGUGAUGGGGAGAAGACAUUGUGUCUUCGAGUCGUUGAUUUCACACUGCCGAGAAAAGCCUCUAGAUAGAAAAUAGGUGCCCGUACCGCAAACCGACACAGGUAGUCAAGAUGAGAAUUCUAAGGUGAGCGAGCGAACUCUCGUUAAGGAACUCGGCAAAAUGACCCCGUAACUUCGGGAGAAGGGGUGCUCUUUAGGGUUAACGCCCAGAAGAGCCGCAGUGAAUAGGCCCAAGCGACUGUUUAUCAAAAACACAGGUCUCUGCUAAACCGUAAGGUGAUGUAUAGGGGCUGACGCCUGCCCGGUGCUGGAAGGUUAAGAGGAGUGGUUAGCUUCUGCGAAGCUACGAAUCGAAGCCCCAGUAAACGGCGGCCGUAACUAUAACGGUCCUAAGGUAGCGAAAUUCCUUGUCGGGUAAGUUCCGACCCGCACGAAAGGCGUAACGAUUUGGGCACUGUCUCAACGAGAGACUCGGUGAAAUCAUAGUACCUGUGAAGAUGCAGGUUACCCGCGACAGGACGGAAAGACCCCGUGGAGCUUUACUGUAGCCUGAUAUUGAAAUUCGGCACAGCUUGUACAGGAUAGGUAGGAGCCUUUGAAACGUGAGCGCUAGCUUACGUGGAGGCGCUGGUGGGAUACUACCC